This 456-nucleotide ribosomal RNA is filed under the name Streptococcus mitis. RNAcentral describes it as "bacterial SSU rRNA". It matches the Rfam family "Bacterial small subunit ribosomal RNA", at positions 28 to 471 of the family's 1533-position model. Lineage: Bacteria; Bacillati; Bacillota; Bacilli; Lactobacillales; Streptococcaceae. The record is from RNAcentral.
GACGAACGCUGGCGGCGUGCCUAAUACAUGCAAGUAGAACGCUGAAGGAGGAGCUUGCUUCUCCGGAUGAGUUGCGAACGGGUGAGUAACGCGUAGGUAACCUGCCUGGUAGCGGGGGAUAACUAUUGGAAACGAUAGCUAAUACCGCAUAAGAGUAGAUGUUGCAUGACAUUUGCUUAAAAGGUGCAAUUGCAUCACUACCAGAUGGAUCUGCGUUGUAUUAGCUAGUUGGUGGGGUAACGGCUCACCAAGGCGACGAUACAUAGCCGACCUGAGAGGGUGAUCGGCCACACUGGGACUGAGACACGGCCCAGACUCCUACGGGAGGCAGCAGUAGGGAAUCUUCGGCAAUGGACGGAAGUCUGACCGAGCAACGCCGCGUGAGUGAAGAAGGUUUUCGGAUCGUAAAGCUCUGUUGUAAGAGAAGAACGAGUGUGAGAGUGGAAAGUCACACUG